UAUUAUGAGAGUUUGAUCCUGGCUCAGGACGAACGCUGGCGGCGUGCCUAAUACAUGCAAGUCGUACGCUUUUUCUUUCACCGGAGCUUGCUCCACCGAAAGAAAAGGAGUGGCGAACGGGUGAGUAACACGUGGGUAACCUGCCCAUCAGAAGGGGAUAACACUUGGAAACAGGUGCUAAUACCGUAUAACAAUCGAAACCGCAUGGUUUUGAUUUGAAAGGCGCUUUCGGGUGUCGCUGAUGGAUGGACCCGCGGUGCAUUAGCUAGUUGGUGAGGUAACGGCUCACCAAGGCCACGAUGCAUAGCCGACCUG
Molecule: ribosomal RNA, 315 nt
Filed under: Enterococcus thailandicus
Lineage: Bacteria; Bacillati; Bacillota; Bacilli; Lactobacillales; Enterococcaceae
Description: bacterial SSU rRNA
Rfam family: Bacterial small subunit ribosomal RNA
Source: RNAcentral